CUGACUCACUUAGUCUCUCCAACAUUCUCACACAUGAGAUCUUGAACCCCCUCAUACUCCCUAUUCCUAAAGAUUUUGAAAUGGUUGUUGUAGAUGUAUAUGUUUAUCAUAAAUAUCAUAGAUCUCAUUGUGUUAGAAUCUUGAGAUAACUUCACCACAACACAUCUUGAAGGUUUCCCAAGGACAAGCUUUGUGUCCUAAAAUAAGCAGCUUUAGAAGAUAACACGAGUGUUCGCCUUUUUUCUAUUGUUGACACUGUUUUUGGACACGUGUCUUUGGACGUGUAUCUGGAGUUGAUGAGGUGUAGAUCGGCAGGCAGAGGUAUGGUGACUAAGUUCGUAGAAGAGUUGCCGAUGAUGGUUGAUGCCGAGGAAAAAACGACAAGAUAUAGCUAAGUCCAGGAGCGAUGAUGGAUCCGUGCCGAUGACUGGGGCUGGUGGUUGUCGAUGACUAAUGUUGAUGGUUGCCAAUGGCUAUAGAAGGUGAUUUGCCGAUGAAUACAGAAGAAGGCACGAGGGUUGAUGGUCGGAUGGUGAUAAUGUGCCGAUUGGUUGUGGAAGAUAAUUUAAUGCUUUCCAUAGUUGUUAGAGUUUGUUUUGUAUACGGAUUCUGUUUAAUUUGGAAUUUGAGUCCUAGUCGUGUCUGAUUGUAACCCUUUUGGAUAGGGUAUAAAUAUAGACCCUACGGCAAUGUAAUGAAUAUCUAUCAAUCAAUCAAAUACAAGUUUUUACACAUAUUCUAGCAUCUACUUUUGAAUGACUUCGUCAUAUUUUCUUUUUUACUAUGAGUUCUUAGGAAUUCGUCGAGUCAAACUCGGCGUGUUCUCAAGUUCCACGUGAGCACCUCUUGGCCGUGA
This 856-nucleotide long non-coding RNA is filed under the name Sorghum bicolor (sorghum). RNAcentral's name for it is "long non-coding RNA (SBIC_LNC014094)". The record is from RNAcentral. Lineage: Eukaryota; Viridiplantae; Streptophyta; Magnoliopsida; Poales; Poaceae.